CAGGGACUGGGCCAAGCUCAGAAGCGGGGAGAAGAGCGAGACAGAGAUGCUCUGAGCAGGGGAGACAGGGAUCCCGGGCUGCUGCCGCUACCAACAAGGGGAGGAAUUCUGAGACUUUAGAGGCCGCACAGCCUUCAGCGCGCUCACCGCGUCCAGGCGUCAGUGAGGGGCUAUCUCGAGGCGCGAGUGCACAAAAGGUAGCGCGAGUCUCUUCUCAGGCGAUCCAGAUAAGAGGAAAUGAGAGCCGGGUUUUCUGACUUCCAACUCAUUAGGGACCAGGUUCUUUUUCUUCAGGAUCAGGCACAGAGACUGACUGAAUGGCUCCAAUUAUCAGGAUUUGAAAACCCAGUAUCAGAAUCUACCACUUUGUAUGGAGGAGGGGAGGAGACGAGUGGGGACCAGCUUGACAUCCAGUCUUCACCUGGACAUAUGGAAAGAACAAAUGUGCGAUCUGCUCGUUCCCUCUGAAGGUCUCUGUUACGUAUUUCCUCCUCUCCUCCAGAGCAUAAUAACCAAUGACUGCUCUCAGAAAGAACAGGCCUGAGGGAGAGGGAAAAGCGGAUACCCACCUGUGUCGCUGUUUGCGUGCCAAGUCCAGGAACAGUCCAUACAGCCCUGCUGCAUCCCACGACGCUGUCACAAAGCAGGAGUUCAUCCGAGGCCAAGAUGGAGAAACUGAGGCCCAGAAAUUGAUGUCCAGAAUGCUUUGCUCUUAGCCACUGUACUAUUAUGGCAUAUUUUAUCUUUAUGUAUUGCAUCAUUUCAUGGAUUCAAGUUUAUCAAUGUCCUUU
This 791-nucleotide long non-coding RNA is filed under the name Homo sapiens (human). RNAcentral's name for it is "surfactant associated 3". Lineage: Eukaryota; Metazoa; Chordata; Mammalia; Primates; Hominidae. The record is from RNAcentral.